Molecule: long non-coding RNA, 1197 nt
Organism: Passer domesticus (house sparrow)
Lineage: Eukaryota; Metazoa; Chordata; Aves; Passeriformes; Passeridae
Exons: 2
Source: RefSeq, a predicted model, not a curated record
GAGACGGUUCCAUGUUGGAUGGUGACGUUUGUUCCCCCGGGGUGGACUGCGCUUCCGGCCAGCUGGUUCCGCGCGGCCAGCGAGUGGGCUUCUGGGGGCCCUGUGGAGUCGGCUAAGCCGACCCCGCCCCUCCCCGCGCCGCAGAGGCGGCGGGGUGGGGAGAACCGCCCUCCCUUUGUGCCUUCCUGGUGCUCAGGGGAUGCGGGGAGCCUCUGGCUCGGCCUCCGCCUCUGCUUGAGUCUGAUUCGGUGACAACACUCUGUCCAAAUUGCGGCGUUUCCACAACAUACCCCCUGGGCGCAGUGGGAGCGGAAUGGUCCGCUUCGCCGCCGGUCUCGACCCCAGGAGGACAGCUGACCGAUCGCGAGGAGAUGGCGGCUUUGGAUCAACUGGGCUGCCUCAAGUUCACGGGACCACUGUCCUGACCAAAGAAUGUCCUGAGAUUCUGUGUACCCUGUCCAUCCCUGGUGCAACGACGCCAGAGAUCCGCCUCAGCGGGCUUCUUGACAGCGGUGCGGAUGUCACAGUUCUCUCCCUUGCCGCCUGGCCCCCGGAAUGGCCCUUGGAUCUGGUGGAGAUGCCUGUCGCGGGAUUGGGAGGAACGGCGCGAUGCUAUGUGUGCCAGCGGCCCAUGCUGCUCACAAACCCGGAGGGACAGAUGGCCAUGAUUUGGCCUCAUGUUACUUCAACUCCUGCUAACCUCUGGGGAAGGGAUGUUGUGUUCAUGUGUGGGGUGUGCAUCAGGAUGGAUUUUUGAUGGGGGCCACUGCAUUGAAGUGUGCAGAGUGUCCUAUGCCUCCUUUAUGGUGGCUGGUGGACAAACCUGUCUGGGAGAACGAGUGGCCCCUCCCUCAAGACAAAUUAGUCGCCCUUCAAAACCUGAUGCAGAAGUAUAGGAGAGAAAUUGUUGUGCUGUUCUUGUGAGCCAGCAAAGGCUUCCUGAAGAUAAGGAAAGCCUUGUAUCUCUCUUGAGGAAGACACUAAGGCUAUCACCAUGACAACGUGAUGAAAGAGAGAAAGUUAAAAGAUACGGACUUUAGUUGGCUCACAGAAUGACGUGGCUCCUUGUUCACAUGUUGAGAACUUUGUUUCUUUCUUAUGACCAAUGGGCAGUGUAUGUGUCUGUUAAGUAAAUGUAAAUAUCUUGAAAAACUAUAAAGGCAACAUGUUGCUAUAAUAAAGCUCUCUUAUACAGCC